GCCUCCUUCUCAUCCUUCAUGCUGACUAGACAAAAACAGGACCAGGAGAGAGCCCUGGAUAGUAUACACUCCGUAUGUUGGGCAUAACUGCAGAGCAGAUGCGGCCUAUGAGUUAAGUAAGAGUAGUACAGCAUGUACAGCUUGUUCUCAGAAACAAACAGCUCUUCUCAGAAGGUAAAAUCUAAUAUAUGACUGACAGUGAUCAAAGGCCAAUUCGGGGAAAUGGUUUUGGAGAGAGUGGCAAUCAAGCCUGAUCCCUUGCUCUAAACUGAAGGGAAGGAGUAGGACUGGGGACUGCAUUUCCCCUGGUGUCUAAGGACUGCUUGUGCCCACAGGGCAUAUAGGAGGGGGUGGUGGAGGCAGACUAGGGAAUAACAUGGCUUUUCUCUGGUUAUCUUUACCUCUCAUGAACUCUACCCUGUAGCCCAUGGAGGCAAGCUGCCCCUCCUCAUUCUUGGUUAUGUACUUUGAAUGUAGCCCUUGACGCAUUUCUAAACACUCGGCUCAAACCCUGGCUAGGCCACUUAUAAAGCAUGUGAGCUCCAGCAAGUUUUUUGGACUCUCUCAGGCUCAGUAAGUAGCCUUAUUUAUUGAUGAUUCCUAAAAUGUCUU
This 612-nucleotide long non-coding RNA is filed under the name Phascolarctos cinereus (koala). Its description in RNAcentral is "lncRNA (ENSPCIG00000032392.1)". The record is from RNAcentral. Lineage: Eukaryota; Metazoa; Chordata; Mammalia; Diprotodontia; Phascolarctidae.